GCCAGUAUGGCAUAGUGGUUUGAGUGUUGGACUAGAACAUCUGAAGACCAGGGUUCGAGUCCCAUCUAGGCC
Phrynosoma platyrhinos (Desert horned lizard) is the source of this 72-nucleotide non-coding RNA. Lineage: Eukaryota; Metazoa; Chordata; Lepidosauria; Squamata; Phrynosomatidae. The record is from the annotation of a GenBank genome assembly.